CCUACGGGAGGCAGCAGUGAGGAAUAUUGGUCAAUGGGCGGAAGCCUGAACCAGCCAAGUCGCGUGAGGGAUUAAGGCCCUGCGGGUCGUAAACCUCUUUUGCCGGGGAGCAGAGGUCCGGACGUGUCCGGGCCGGGAGAGUACCCGGAGAAAAAGCAUCGGCUAACUCCGUGCCAGCAGCCGCGGUAAUACGGAGGUGGCAAGCGUUAUCCGGAAUGACUGGGCGUAAAGGGUGCGUAGGUGGUUUAGUAAGUUGGCGGUGUAAUUCCGGGGCUCAACCUCGGCGCUACCGCCAAAACUAUUAGACUAGAGUGCAGGAGGGGUAAGUGGAAUUCCUAGUGUAGCGGUGAAAUGCUUAGAUAUGACGAAGAACCCCGAUUGCGAAGGCAGCUUGCUGCAGCGGAACUGACGCUGAUGCUCGAAAGCGCGGGUAUCGAACAGGAUUAGAUACCCAGUC
RNAcentral lists this ribosomal RNA (457 nucleotides) under uncultured bacterium. Its description in RNAcentral is "partial 16S ribosomal RNA". It matches the Rfam family "Bacterial small subunit ribosomal RNA", at positions 338 to 791 of the family's 1533-position model. The record is from RNAcentral.